RNAcentral lists this long non-coding RNA (987 nucleotides) under Lathyrus oleraceus (garden pea). RNAcentral describes it as "Pisum sativum (pea) long non-coding RNA (PSAT_LNC028177)". Lineage: Eukaryota; Viridiplantae; Streptophyta; Magnoliopsida; Fabales; Fabaceae. The record is from RNAcentral.
AGACUUUUAAAUUCUUCAGCAUCAUCAACCCAUGUGCCAUUUGAAUUUUUGAGGCAUUGAAUGAUCUUCCUUCUACGCCUUUGAACUGAUUUGACAUGAUAGAUUCUAGUAUUCCUAUCUCCAUCAGCUAGUCAUUUAUGUUUAGAUCUUUGAAAUAUCCUAUUAGUUUCUCUUGUUGCAAGAUUUUUGCCAAAUCUUUUUGUAAAGUUUUCUCCAAACUAACAAGCCCAAUAUGACUCCUUCCUUCCUGCACAACUUUUUGAAUUUUUUUUUCUUUCUUCUAACAGUUUUCAUAUUCCAAUUUUCCAAUUGGUAAUUUGGAUUUUGAGCUCUUCCAUGUUAUUCUUGAGACUCAAAUUCUUAUCCCAAAACUGACUGUAUCAUGUCUUGAUAUAUUUCCUCUAACAUCCAGACGCAUUUGAAUUUAGAAUAUUUAGGUGUAUUUCUACUGGUGUUAGCAGUGGAUGGUGAUCAAAGAAAUCAAGACACAUAAGCACCUUAACUUGCGCAUCUAUUGCAGAAGCCAAAUAUCAUUGCUCAGCAUUCUGUCAAGUCUUUCCUAUAUUCUUAGACCUCAAUGACGCAUAUGACCUCCCUUUCAUAUAUUCUUAGACCUCCAUGACGCAUAUGACCUCCCGGUUGAAUUGUAAUUCCUUCCGUCAAAAUAGGUUGUUCGACAGAGUAAGGAAGUAUCGAACCACCUAGUGUAUCGAGUUGUGUUAGUGUGUCGAAGUGUCGAAGCAUGUUGUUUUACACAGGAUUCCGACUUAUGCCUUCUUUUAAUAGUUUUAGCUAUUUUGGAUUUUUAUAGUUUUGAGUUUUGACUUGAGAUCCAAGUUAACUUAAAUUUAUAAAUAGAGGAAGUAACCCUUAUUUUUGUAAUGAAGUGAAUAGAGUAUUUAUAACAUUGUAUUCACUAUAUUUUACAUUUGUAAAGUGAAUAAGAAGUUUUCCACAGUUUCUGGACCGAGAGAAACUCUGCAGAAU